UACGGAGGGUGCAAGCGUUGUUCGGAAUCAUUGGGCGUAAAGGGCGCGUAGGCGGCAUGACAAGUCACUUGUGAAAUCUCCGGGCUUAACUCGGAACGGUCAAGUGAUACUGUCGCGCUAGAGUGCGGAAGGGGCAAUCAGAAUUCUUGGUGUAGCGGUGAAAUGCGUAGAUAUCAAGAGGAAUACCUGAGGUGAAGACGGGUUGCUAGGCCGACACUGACGCUGAAGCGCGAAAGCCAGGGGAGCAAACGGG
Molecule: ribosomal RNA, 253 nt
Filed under: uncultured bacterium
Lineage: Bacteria
Description: partial 16S ribosomal RNA
Rfam family: Bacterial small subunit ribosomal RNA
Source: RNAcentral